AGCUCCAAUAGCGUAUAUUAAAGUUGUUGCAGUUAAAAAGCUCGUAGUUGGAUUUUGGGGUACUGAUGAACCCGGUCUGCCGGGAUGGUGUGUACUGGUUCAUCUGCCCUUCCUUUCGGUUUGCUACCUUCUGCUCUUAACUGAGUGGGAGGCAAGCUCCGAAUCGUUUACUUUGAAAAAAUUAGAGUGUUUAAAGCAGGCCUAUCAUAUGCCUAAAUACUGCAGCAUGGGAUAAUAGAAUAGGACUCUGUGCCUAUUUUGUUGGUUUCUAGGUAUAGAGUAAUGAUUAAUAGAGAUAGUUGGGGGUAUUCAUAUUUAAUUGUCAGAGGUGAAAUUCUUGGAUUUAUGAAAGAUGAACUUCUGCGAAAGCAUUUAUCAAGGAUGUUUUCA
This 390-nucleotide ribosomal RNA is filed under the name uncultured eukaryote. Its description in RNAcentral is "SSU rRNA". It matches the Rfam family "Eukaryotic small subunit ribosomal RNA", at positions 587 to 972 of the family's 1831-position model. The record is from RNAcentral.